RNAcentral lists this transfer RNA (72 nucleotides) under Tetraphis pellucida. RNAcentral's name for it is "tRNA-Gln". It matches the Rfam family "tRNA". Rfam says of the family: Transfer RNA (tRNA) molecules are approximately 80 nucleotides in length. Their secondary structure includes four short double-helical elements and three loops (D, anti-codon, and T loops). The record is from RNAcentral. Lineage: Eukaryota; Viridiplantae; Streptophyta; Tetraphidopsida; Tetraphidales; Tetraphidaceae.
UGGGGCGUAGCCAAGUGGUAAGGCGCCAGGUUUUGACCCUGUUAUUCGGAGGUUCGAAUCCUUCCGUCCCAG